GGGCCUUUAGCUUAAUGGUAGAGCACCCGGUUUGCAUCCGGGAGAUACGAGUUCGAUUCUCGUAAGGUCCA
RNAcentral lists this transfer RNA (71 nucleotides) under bacterium. Its description in RNAcentral is "tRNA-Ala". It matches the Rfam family "tRNA". From Rfam's summary of the family: Transfer RNA (tRNA) molecules are approximately 80 nucleotides in length. Their secondary structure includes four short double-helical elements and three loops (D, anti-codon, and T loops). Further hydrogen bonds mediate the characteristic L-shaped molecular structure. tRNAs have two regions of fundamental functional importance: the anti-codon, which is responsible for specific mRNA codon recognition, and the 3' end, to which the tRNAs corresponding amino acid is attached (by aminoacyl-tRNA synthetases). tRNAs cope with the degeneracy of the genetic code in two manners: having more than one tRNA (with a specific anti-codon) for a particular amino acid; and 'wobble' base-pairing, i.e. permitting non-standard base-pairing at the 3rd anti-codon position. The record is from RNAcentral.